This 301-nucleotide long non-coding RNA is filed under the name Amborella trichopoda. RNAcentral's name for it is "long non-coding RNA (ATRI_LNC003781)". Lineage: Eukaryota; Viridiplantae; Streptophyta; Magnoliopsida; Amborellales; Amborellaceae. The record is from RNAcentral.
ACAGAUUAUCCUGCUUUCCGUCUUCAAGUAUGUGGAUGAAACUAUUUCGGAAUGAUGAGAGUGGCAAAAUUCAAAGGUAAUUGCUCAGCAAAGUUUAAAACCUUGGAACUUGGACUUGACUCUGCCCCUCAACAAAAUUCCUAGCUGAGUCAGAUUUUGAGUCUCCUCUUGUGUCAACACGUUCUUUGAAUGGUUGUUAUGAAGUCUUUUGCAAAAAAUAUGUAAUACUUGAAAUGACUACUCUUUGCUGAGUAAGUCUUAGUAUUUUUGUUUCUCAAGAAGGGCCCCAGCCAAAAUUUUC